UACGGAGGAUGCGAGCGUUAUCCGGAUUUAUUGGGUUUAAAGGGUGCGUAGGCGGGAUGCCAAGUCAGCGGUAAAAAUGCGGUGCUCAACGCCGUCGAGCCGUUGAAACUGGCGUUCUUGAGUGGGCGAAAAGUAUGCGGAAUGCGUGGUGUAGCGGUGAAAUGCAUAGAUAUCACGCAGAACUCCGAUUGCGAAGGCAGCAUACCGGCGCCCUACUGGCGCUGAGGCACGAAAGCGUGGGUAUCGAACAGG
RNAcentral lists this ribosomal RNA (252 nucleotides) under uncultured bacterium. Its description in RNAcentral is "partial 16S ribosomal RNA". It matches the Rfam family "Bacterial small subunit ribosomal RNA", at positions 524 to 776 of the family's 1533-position model. The record is from RNAcentral.